Molecule: long non-coding RNA, 465 nt
Filed under: Capsicum annuum
Lineage: Eukaryota; Viridiplantae; Streptophyta; Magnoliopsida; Solanales; Solanaceae
Description: long non-coding RNA (CANN_LNC000134)
Source: RNAcentral
ACCAAAGCCAAAAAUAAAAAUCUACUUUAAAGUUUAAACACCUAAGUUAGAAAAUAUGGCUUCCAAGAAAACUACUACUCUUGCUCUAUUUAUCCUUGUGAACCUUCUUUUUUUCUCUCUUGUGAGUGCAUGUGGCACUUGUCCAAGUCCAAAACCAAAGCCAAAGCCAAAGCCAAAGCCAACUCCAACUCCAAAGCCAACCCCGAGCCCCGGCUCAAAAGGCAAGUGCCCAAUCGAUGCACUAAAAUUAGGUAUUUGUGCUAAUGUUCUUGGAAAUUUACUUGGAGUUGUACUUGGAAAUCCUCCAAAGAAACCUUGUUGUUCUCUCAUUCAAGGACUUGUUGAUCUUGAGGCUGCUCUUUGUCUUUGCACUGCCCUUAAAGCAAAUAUUCUUGGGAUUAACCUUAAUGUCCCUAUUUCUCUAAGCCUUCUUCUUAAUGUUUGUGGCAAAAAAGUUCCAUCUGG